UCCUGGCUCAGAACGAACGCUGGCGGCAUGCCUAACACAUGCAAGUCGAACGAGACUUCGGGUCUAGUGGCGCACGGGUGCGUAACGCGUGGGAAUCUGCCCUUGGGUGCGGAAUAACUUCUCGAAAGGGAUGCUAAUACCGCAUAAUGUCGUAAGACCAAAGAUUUAUCGCCCAAGGAUGAGCCCGCGUAAGAUUAGCUAGUUGGUGGGGUAAAAGCCUACCAAGGCGACGAUCUUUAGCUGGUCUGAGAGGAUGAUCAGCCACACUGGGACUGAGACACGGCCCAGACUCCUACGGGAGGCAGCAGUGGGGAAUAUUGGACAAUGGGCGAAAGCCUGAUCCAGCAAUGCCGCGUGAGUGAUGAAGGCCCUAGGGUUGUAAAGCUCUUUUACCCGGGAUGAUAAUGACAGUACCGGGAGAAUAAGCUCCGGCUAACUCCGUGCCAGCAGCCGCGGUAAUACGGAGGGAGCUAGCGUUGUUCGGAAUUACUGGGCGUAAAGCGCGCGUAGGCGGCUUUUUAAGUCAGAGGUGAAAGCCCGGGGCUCAACCCCGGAAUUGCCUUUGAAACUGGAAAGCUAGAAUCUUGGAGAGGUCAGUGGAAUUCCGAGUGUAGAGGUGAAAUUCGUAGAUAUUCGGAAGAACACCAGUGGCGAAGGCGACUGACUGGACAAGUAUUGACGCUUAGGUGCGAAAGCGUGGGGAGCAAACAGGAUUAGAUACCCUGGUAGUCCACGCCGUAAACGAUGAUAACUAGCUGUCCGGGUUCAUAGACUUGGGUGGCGCAGUUAACGGCAUUAAGUUAUCCGCCUGGGGAGUACGGUCGCAAGAUUAAAACUCAAAGGAAUUGACGGGGGCCUUGCACAGGUGGAGCAUGUGGUUUAAUUCGAAGCAACCCGCAGAACCUUACCAGCGUUUGACAUCCAUGAUCGCGGUUACCAGAGAUGGUUUCCUUCAGUUCGGCUGGAUCAGUGGCAGGUGCUGCAUGCUGUCGUCAAGCUCGUGUCGUGAGAUGUUGGGUUAAGUCCCGCAACGACGCAACCCUCAUCCCUAGUUGCCAUCAUUAAGUGGGCACUCUAAGGAAACUGCCGGUGAUAAGCCGGAGGAAGGUGGGGAUGACGUCAAGUCCUCAUGGCCCUUACGCGCUGGGCUACACACGUGCUACAAUGGCAACUACAGUGGGCAGCAACCUCGCGAGGGGUAGCUAAUCUCCAAAAGUUGUCUCAGUUCGGAUUGUUCUCUGCAACUCGAGAGCAUGAAGGCGGAAUCGCUAGUAAUCGCGGAUCAACAUGCCGCGGUGAAUACGUUCCCAAGGGCCCUUUGUACACACACCGCCCGUCACACCAUGGGAGUUGGUUUCACCCGAAAGCAGUGCUCUAACCCGCAAGGGAGGAAGUGACCACGGUGGGAUCAACGACUGGGGUGAAGUCGUAACAAGGUAGCCCGUAGGGGAACCUUCGGCUGGAUCACCUCCUU
Molecule: ribosomal RNA, 1474 nt
Filed under: Sphingopyxis alaskensis
Lineage: Bacteria; Pseudomonadati; Pseudomonadota; Alphaproteobacteria; Sphingomonadales; Sphingopyxidaceae
Description: 16S ribosomal RNA
Rfam family: Bacterial small subunit ribosomal RNA
Source: RNAcentral